GUGCCUGUGGUUCAAAGGAGUAGGGCGCUGGCCUCAUAUGCCAGAGGUGGUGGGUUCAAACCCAGCCCUGGCCCA
Otolemur garnettii (small-eared galago) is the source of this 75-nucleotide non-coding RNA. The record is from Rfam. NCBI's taxonomy places the organism in Eukaryota, Metazoa, Chordata, Mammalia, Primates, Galagidae.